RNAcentral lists this ribosomal RNA (781 nucleotides) under uncultured Neocallimastigales. Its description in RNAcentral is "partial large subunit ribosomal RNA". It matches the Rfam family "Eukaryotic large subunit ribosomal RNA", at positions 24 to 628 of the family's 3401-position model. Lineage: Eukaryota; Fungi; Neocallimastigomycota; Neocallimastigomycetes; Neocallimastigales. The record is from RNAcentral.
CGCAUCUGUGCAUGCAGCAUAUCAAUAAGCGGAGAAAAGAAACUAACAAGGAUUCCCUUAGUAACGGCGAGUGAAGCGGGAAGAGCUCAAAUUUGAAAUCUUCAAGGUUUUACCUUGACGAAUUGUAGUUUAAAGAAGUGUUUUCUGUUGAAGUUUUGGUAAAAGUUCUUUGGAAUAGGACAUCAUAGAGGGUGAGAAUCCCGUAUUUGACCAUUAUUUUCAGCUGUGUGAUACACUUUCAAAGAGUCGGAUUGUUUGGGAAUGCAGUCCAAAAUGGGUGGUAAAUUUCAUCUAAAGCUAAAUAUUGGCGAGAGACCGAUAGCGAACAAGUACCGUGAGGGAAAGAUGAAAAGAACUUUGAAAAGAGAGUUAAACAGUACGUGAAAUUGUCAAAAGGGAAGCAGUUUGACACCAGUGCUGUUUUCUCGAAAAUCAAUUAAAAAGAGGUUGGAUUUUGUUGUGUAUUGACCUUAACAGCUUGCAUUUCAAUCUUUCAUUGCUUUUUUUAAUGCACUUUUCGUUUAACAAGUCAACAUCAGUUUCUUUUGUUGUAAAAAGGGUCAUUGGAAGGUGGCUUUCUCUUUCGGAGAAAGUGUUUAUAGCCUUUGACUCUCUGCAAUCGGAGAGACUGAGGUCUGCAGCGUAGAUCCUUCGGGGUUAGAUACAUUUGUGCUAAGUUAUAGCUUUUUCAUAGACAACUUGUUGACUAUGAUUAGUCUUGUAGCUUACUCGCUUAUGCUAUUUUACCUACGCUUAGGAUGUUGACGCGCGUGUGUGCGUG